GGCCAGAGUCGGCUUGUUCUCUUCUUGGA
This 29-nucleotide non-coding RNA is filed under the name Mus musculus (house mouse). Lineage: Eukaryota; Metazoa; Chordata; Mammalia; Rodentia; Muridae. The record is from RNAcentral.